UUUGCUGUCGGGUUUGCAAUGGGUGGCGUCGAUGAUGCAUUAAGAGGGCUUUGAUGUUCAUGCACUUUCCUUUGGUCGAUUGCAGCUCUCUACCUGGCCUCUUAUGAAAGUGAAGGACCUGAGAACCACAUAGAGAAAGACAGGUGGAAGUCGUUAAGAUCCAGCCUGCUAGGCAGAGUUUAACAUGCAGGGAUCCGUUUGCUAAUUGCCGCCGCUGCACCGUGUGCACAUCGUCCGGGAGCUGGCAUUUGCCUCCUCCUGGCUUGUGGGACCAGGAAAAAAAACCACGGAGACCCCGGCAGUCACCGGAGCAACCUUCCCACCCACCCCCCAACCCCGGUCAGCUUCGCAAGCAGAAGAUGGGAACUCACGUCCUAUCGGCUGGGGACCGAUGGGACUCAGAUUUGAAAUCCGGGAGACCACGGGAGAAAGAAUCUUCCGGAGGAUUCCCGGCUCUGCUCGUGAUUCAUCUCCUGGAAUUUCCCCGUGACUCACGGCUCUGCACCUGGAUGGGGUUUUCUUUUGUGUGUGUCUGCGCGUGUGUUUUUAUCGUUGGGACAUUUGCUGCUAAUGGGACUUGCCCGGCUCUGAGCACUGGCUCUUUGGAAGCCCGUGCGUUUCUUUGUUUAAAUUAAACGAAAAAGGAGGGAGAGGGGGGAGGAGGAGGGAUCUGAAAGACACCCCACCCCUCCACCCCAAUUUUGGAUCCCCAAAAGCACAGCUCCAUCGGCGUGGCCAGAGAGAGGGUGAGAAGACUGGUUGGUCAGACGCUGGCGGUGGACUCAGUUUCCCUUCCGUGUGUGUGGUAUUUCCUAAACUCCUGUCCCCGCAAGACCUUGAGUUGGCUGCUGGCUAGCCAACUCCUUUUUACCCACGAUAAGUUAUUUAAUAUAAUAAUGAAGCUCAAACACUGUGGUAGGAAAAUAGCCACUAGGAAUUAAAAAAAAAAAAAAAAAAAAAAAAGCAGAGUCUGUUUGGGACUGCUGAACGUUCUAGAAGGACUUUUUUUUUUUUUUUUUUUGCCUUUCUAAGCUGUUUACAACUGACCACUGUGUGUCUGUUCCACAGAUGUAUUUUUGAGUAGUUUUUUUGUUUGUUUGUUUGUUUGUUAUUUCGUUGUUUUCCAUGAAGCCUCUUUUUUGUUUUUCUUUUUCCCUCUUGUAAAUUUUAAACGAUCUGGCUUUUCAGGGUCUUGGGGGAAAACCCCACGGCAUAAAAAUUACAGUUUAGUUUUUUGUUUCUUUUUUUUUUAACUAACUGUUAAUUUUUUCAUGACUUUUUCGGAGUCUGUUGGUGACUGCACAUGUCCACGCAGGAUCAAUUGGGAAUGUGGCCACCCGCAAAGAUAGCAGCGAACGAAACAAAGGAAAAACACGUUGCUGUGAACGGUGGAUCUAAUUGUCAAAUAGUCCGGCUCGUCAAACAUCUCAACCAGCCCGUAGUAGUUGCUCGGCCAACAGCGAUUAUAUUCACUUAACUCUAGGAGAAAACUGUAGAGUAGAAAUCCAUACCAAUAGGAAAAAAAAAAAAAAAGAA
This is a non-coding RNA of Microcebus murinus (gray mouse lemur), 1536 nucleotides long. NCBI's taxonomy places the organism in Eukaryota, Metazoa, Chordata, Mammalia, Primates, Cheirogaleidae. The record is from RefSeq and is a predicted model, not a curated record.